This is an unclassified non-coding RNA of Dipodomys ordii (Ord's kangaroo rat), 308 nucleotides long. Its record names the gene 7SK. It matches the Rfam family "7SK RNA". Rfam says of the family: 7SK was discovered as an abundant small nuclear RNA in the mid-70s but a possible function has only recently been suggested. Two independent studies have found that 7SK RNA binds the CDK9/cyclin T complex (known as elongation factor P-TEFb). P-TEFb activates transcription by phosphorylating the C-terminal domain of RNA polymerase II. Lineage: Eukaryota; Metazoa; Chordata; Mammalia; Rodentia; Heteromyidae. The record is from Ensembl.
AUGGGGUCAACCUGUAUCCCUGUCUAAGCAUUUUGUUUUUCCUCCAUUGAUCACCAGGGUUGAUUUGGCUGAUCUGGCUGGCUAGAUGGGUGUCCCCUUCCUCCCUCACCACUGGUGAGUCCUUCCCAAAGCUGAGCCCUUGGUCAAAGAUGACGACCAUCCCCGAUAGAGGAGGACCAGUCUUUGGUCAAGGGUGUAUGGGUAGCUGCGCUCCCCUGCUAGAACUUCCAAACAAGCUUUCACAAAAGCAUUUGAAUAGCAAAAAGCCCCAUAUUUUCCCAAUGUUACAUGAUAGUAUGUCCUUUUAU